GUGCUCGCUUUGGCAGCACAUAUACUAAAAAUUGGAACGAUACGGAGAAGAUUAGCAUGGCCCCUGCACAAGGAUGACACGCAAAUUUGUGAAGCGUCCCAUAUUUUU
This 108-nucleotide small nuclear RNA is filed under the name Physeter macrocephalus (sperm whale). Lineage: Eukaryota; Metazoa; Chordata; Mammalia; Artiodactyla; Physeteridae. The record is from RNAcentral.